Long non-coding RNA from Pygocentrus nattereri (red-bellied piranha), 414 nucleotides. RefSeq lists it as uncharacterized. The record is from RefSeq and is a predicted model, not a curated record. Lineage: Eukaryota; Metazoa; Chordata; Actinopteri; Characiformes; Serrasalmidae. The transcript is spliced from 3 exons.
CCUGGUUCCCAUCAGCACCACUGUAAAGACAUCGGAACCAUUCACACCAAACCCUCUGAGUGACUGUUUACAGUUUGCUCAGUCCAGCUUUAUUUUGUGCACCAAAAGCCAGAAGCAGGAAGGAUUGACCUGUUGUCAUUUCCAUGACCUGCCAUUUCCUUCACACCUGAAGACCGGAAUGAAAUGUGAGGAAGACUGUUGUAGCUUAAGCCCACAUCAUUACAACUGCUGCUGUAAAAUGUGCCCAUGAUGGCCUGAUGGGAUGGUGUUCUCACCUCGAUCCUGAAAUGGCUCACAGUAUGUCCAGCCUGUCCUCUGCAGUUACAUUAUGUAGGCCAGACUACAAACUCAGGGCCUAAGGGCCUACAGAGUUUACCGUUUACUCUGCUCUGCUGCAUCCAGUUCAACUCAUGA